GGGCAACCACUAUUCACAUGAGAUAUGAUUAGAGGAAUUUGUAUAGAGUUUUGGUGUGGGAAGUGAAGAAUAUGACUUAGUAUGUUUUAAGAUUUUUUAUAAAAAAGAUUUCUUUGCUGAUAUCAGCAACCCAGGCAACAGCCCAGGCUUGUGGUGCCCACCAAUUGCCCUGAAACACUUUCUGGGCCUAGGCCCCACUUUGCCUGGGCAAGGGGUUGCCC
Molecule: long non-coding RNA, 221 nt
Filed under: Prunus persica (peach)
Lineage: Eukaryota; Viridiplantae; Streptophyta; Magnoliopsida; Rosales; Rosaceae
Description: long non-coding RNA (PPER_LNC005055)
Source: RNAcentral